Molecule: long non-coding RNA, 156 nt
Organism: Thalassophryne amazonica
Lineage: Eukaryota; Metazoa; Chordata; Actinopteri; Batrachoidiformes; Batrachoididae
Exons: 3
Source: RefSeq, a predicted model, not a curated record
UUGGUGUGUGGUUCCUUUUGGUUGUGAGGGCAGCAGAGAAGAUUAUUAGGGCCAGGCUGCCAACCAUUGGUGCACUGGCAGAACAGCGCUGCUUGUCCAGGACAAGAAGGAUAAUUAGGGACACUUCACAUCCCUUUAACAAACUAUAUUCCUUCC